This 660-nucleotide ribosomal RNA is filed under the name uncultured Rhodocyclaceae bacterium. RNAcentral's name for it is "bacterial SSU rRNA". It matches the Rfam family "Bacterial small subunit ribosomal RNA", at positions 97 to 753 of the family's 1533-position model. The record is from RNAcentral. Lineage: Bacteria; Pseudomonadati; Pseudomonadota; Betaproteobacteria; Rhodocyclales; Rhodocyclaceae.
GGCGAACGGGUGAGUAAAGCAUCGGAACGUACCGUGUAGUGGGGGAUAACGUAGCGAAAGUUACGCUAAUACCGCAUACGCACUGAGGUGGAAAGCAGGGGAUCGUAAGACCUUGCGCUAUACGAGCGGCCGAUGUCAGAUUAGCUAGUUGGUAGGGUAAAGGCCUACCAAGGCGACGAUCUGUAGCGGGUCUGAGAGGAUGAUCCGCCACACUGGGACUGAGACACGGCCCAGACUCCUACGGGAGGCAGCAGUGGGGAAUUUUGGACAAUGGGGGCAACCCUGAUCCAGCCAUGCCGCGUGAGUGAAGAAGGCCUUCGGGUUGUAAAGCUCUUUCGGCCGGGAAGAAAUCGCACAGGCUAAUACCCUGUGUGGAUGACGGUACCGGCAUAAGAAGCACCGGCUAACUACGUGCCAGCAGCCGCGGUAAUACGUAGGGUGCGAGCGUUAAUCGGAAUUACUGGGCGUAAAGCGUGCGCAGGCGGUUAGAUAAGUUUGAUGUGAAAUCCCCGGGCUCAACCUGGGAACUGCAUUGAAGACUGUCUGACUAGAGUACGGCAGAGGGGGGUGGAAUUCCACGUGUAGCAGUGAAAUGCGUAGAGAUGUGGAGGAACACCGAUGGCGAAGGCAGCCCCCUGGGCCGAUACUGACGCUCAUGCA